Molecule: long non-coding RNA, 2418 nt
Filed under: Homo sapiens (human)
Lineage: Eukaryota; Metazoa; Chordata; Mammalia; Primates; Hominidae
Description: HSALNT0248244
Source: RNAcentral
CCCCUUUAACGUCCCCCAUGCCACUUUGUAGUUAGCCCUGCCCCUCCUCCCAGCCCCUCUUAGCCACUGAUCUGUAUGUUGUUCUUACAGUUUUGAAAAGGACAUGUAAUUUAAACAGCGUGUGACCCAUAUUUCUCCCUUCCUAGUAGUGGCUCACAGCUCAGACUACUAAUUUAUAAACUCUUGAAUGACUAACCUGUACUCGUAGGCGCUUGCCUGUCAAGGAAGCAGUUCAGACCCAGAUUUAAGGGUAGCUUUUAUUCCAAUUUUACAAAUUUUUCCUACUGCCAUUGUUUAAAUAGUUUUGUGGAUUAUAAUCUUACUUUUGAAGAAAAUUGCUAAAUAUUUGAAAAUGCUAAAACAGAACUGAUUUGAAUUUCCAUGUAUUUUAAUUGAGGCUUUUACAUUGGUUUUUUUCCAGCUUUCCAAAUUUCAUCACAUUCCUGUCUCCUAUUAAUCACCACUAAUUAUGUAGCACUCAGAGGCCCUUUCCCUUCAGCAGGAAAGAAGGUUAAAUGAAUAACUAGAACAAUCCUGUUCCCUUGGGGGAUUAACUGUAUUUUAAGUGGAAUAGGUUAAAGUAUUAUAUAAAGUUAAAUGAACUUUUAUCAUUACUUUAAUCUUGAUAGAACUGGUUUGUAAAAAUUGUACCAUAGAAUCAUUUAAGCUUUAGUGAGGGAAACUAUUAAAAAGACUCAUGUUCACAUCUCAGAAAUAAAGUUCAUGUAUACUGGGCAUAAGUACCUAUUCUGUGUUUCAUUCCCACAUGCAUCUUGAAGAAAUAUUUUACAGCUUACUCAUUCCUGUACACUAAUAACAGACAGAGAGCCAAAUCAUGAGUGAACUCCCAUUCAUAUUGCUACAAAGAGAAUAAAAUACCUAGGAAUCCAACUUACAAGGGAUAUGAGGGACCUCUUCAAGGAGAACUACAAACCACUGCUCAACAAAAUAAGAGAGAGACACAAACAAAUGGAAGAACAUUCCGUGCUUAUGGAUAGGAAGAAUCAAUAUCGUGAAAAUGGCCAUACUGCCCAAGAUAAUUUAUAGAUUCAAUGCCAUCCCCAUCAAGCUACCAAUGACUUUCUUCACAGAAUUGGAAAAAACUACUUUAAAGUUCAUAUAGAACCAAAAAAGAGCCCGCAUUCCCAAGACAAUCCUAAGCAAAAAGAACAAAACUGGAGGCAUUGUACUACCUGACUUCAAACUAUACUACAAGGCUACAGUAACCAAAACAGCAUGGUACUGGUACCAAAACAGAUAUAUUGACCAAUGGAACAGAACAGAGGCCUCAGAAAUAACACCACACAUCUAUAACCAUCUGAUCUUUGACAAACCUGACAAAAACAAGAAAUGGGGAAAGGAUUCCCUAUUUAAUACAUGGUACUGGGAAAACUGGCUAGCCAUAUGUAGAAAGCUGAAACUGGAUCCCUUUCUUUAUACAAAAAUUAAUUCGAGAUGGAUUAAAGACUUAAAAUGUUAGACCUAACGCUAUAAAAACCCUAGAAGAAAAUCUAGGCAAUACUAUUCAGGACAUAGGCAUGGUCAAGGACUUCAUGACUAAAACACCAAAAGCAAUGGCAACAAAAGCCAGAAUAGACAAAUGGGAUCUAAUUAAACUAAAGAGCUUCUGCAUGGCAGAAGAAGCUACCCUCAGAGUGAACAGGAAACCUACAGAAUGGGAGAAAAUUUUUGCAAUCUACCCAUCUGACAAAGGGCUAAUAUCCAGAAUCUACAAAGAACUCAAACAAAUUUACAAGAAAAAAACAACCCCAUCAAAAAGUGGGCAAAGGAUAUGAACAGACACUUCUCAAAAGAAGACAUUUAUGCAGCCAACAGACACAUUAGAAAAUGCUCAUCAUCACUGGUCAUCAGAGAAAUGCAAAUCAAAACCACAAUGAGAUACCAUCUCAUACCAGUUAGAAUGGCAGUUGUUAAAAAUUCAGGAAACAACAGAUGCUGGAGAUGAUGUGGAGAAAUAGGAACGCUUUUACACUGUUUUUGGAAGUGUAAAUUAGUUCAACCAUUAUGGAAGACAGUGUGGCGAUUCAAGGAUCGAGAACUAGAAAUACCAUUUGACCUAGUGAUCCCAUUACUGGGUAUAUACCUAAAGGAUUAUAAAUCAUGCUACUAUAAAGACACAUGCACACAUAUGUUUACUGUGGCACUAUUCACAAUAGCAGGCUUGGAACCAACCCAAAUGUCCAUCGAUGAUAGACUGGAUUAAGAAAACGUGGCACAUACACACCAUGGAAUACUAUGCAGCCAUAAAAAAGGAUGAGUUCAUGUCCUUUGCAGGGACAUAGAUGAAGCUGGAAACCAUCAUUUUGAGCAAACUAUUGCAAGGACGGAAAACCAAACACCACAUGUUCUCACUCAUAGGUGGGAAUUGAACAAUGAGAACACUUGGACACAGGGUGG